AUCAGGUAGCCCUCCAGAAUCCUGAAUGGCAUCUUGUCACUUCCAGAGACUUUUCCCUCAGUACACUUCAACAAUAACUUCAAGUUUACCAGCUCUUCCUGGAAAGAGUUGGUCCAAUUAUUGAACAGUCUAAUUUUACAGUAACCAACCCAAUGAAUGAAUCUCAAAUCUUAAAGCUCUAGGAGCUGAGGGGACUUCUAGCUAAAGAGAUAUGUGUUGGCGAUGCCCUGAGCCACAUAGAUGAAGUAGAGACAAGACAAGGAGAGGGAGAAGAUGAAGGCAAGGAGGGAGCAAUUGGAGAUCUGCAUCAUCCACCGGAGCACAGACAUCUUCCUCUCCGGGCCAGCAGCCGGCUGCACUCUCAGGCCAGACUCGGAGUGACUGUCCAGGCCCUAAACUUCCAUGAAGGUGCCAGGAACCCAGAGGAUGCGGCGGAGUCAGUUUUGCAGCCUACCCCCAUCUGACGCUCUCACCGGCCAGGAGAGACAAGCAGCUUGAAGCUCCCCAGCGGUCCCGGGCCACGCCAAUGGCACUGUGAAGUCUCUGAGGCUUCUUGCAGCCCCACCCCCAUCGGACUCUCUAAACUGCGACCAG
Molecule: long non-coding RNA, 594 nt
Filed under: Heterocephalus glaber (naked mole-rat)
Lineage: Eukaryota; Metazoa; Chordata; Mammalia; Rodentia; Bathyergidae
Description: lncRNA (ENSHGLG00100035512.1)
Source: RNAcentral